This 67-nucleotide transfer RNA is filed under the name Mycomya sp. WQY006. Its description in RNAcentral is "tRNA-Ala". The record is from RNAcentral. Lineage: Eukaryota; Metazoa; Arthropoda; Insecta; Diptera; Mycetophilidae.
AGGGUUAUAGUUAAAUUAACAUUUGUUUUGCAUACAAAAAAUAUUGAAAUAUCAUCAAUUUUCCUUA